This 1346-nucleotide ribosomal RNA is filed under the name uncultured bacterium. RNAcentral describes it as "bacterial SSU rRNA". It matches the Rfam family "Bacterial small subunit ribosomal RNA", at positions 28 to 1381 of the family's 1533-position model. The record is from RNAcentral.
GACGAACGCUGGCGGCGUGCUUAACACAUGCAAGUCGAACGGAAAGGCCCUGCUUUUGUGGGGUGCUCGAGUGGCGAACGGGUGAGUAACACGUGAGUAACCUGCCCUUGACUUUGGGAUAACUUCAGGAAACUGGGGCUAAUACCGGAUAGGAGCUCCUGCUGCAUGGUGGGGGUUGGAAAGUUUCGGCGGUUGGGGAUGGACUCGCGGCUUAUCAGCUUGUUGGUGGGGUAGUGGCUUACCAAGGCUUUGACGGGUAGCCGGCCUGAGAGGGUGACCGGCCACAUUGGGACUGAGAUACGGCCCAGACUCCUACGGGAGGCAGCAGUGGGGAAUAUUGCACAAUGGGCGGAAGCCUGAUGCAGCAACGCCGCGUGCGGGAUGACGGCCUUCGGGUUGUAAACCGCUUUCGCCUGUGACGAAGCGUGAGUGACGGUAAUGGGUAAAGAAGCACCGGCUAACUACGUGCCAGCAGCCGCGGUGAUACGUAGGGUGCGAGCGUUGUCCGGAUUUAUUGGGCGUAAAGGGCUCGUAGGUGGUUGAUCGCGUCGGAAGUGUAAUCUUGGGGCUUAACCCUGAGCGUGCUUUCGAUACGGGUUGACUUGAGGAAGGUAGGGGAGAAUGGAUUUCCUGGUGGAGCGGUGGAAUGCGCAGAUAUCAGGAGGAACACCAGUGGCGAAGGCGGUUCUCUGGGCCUUUCCUGACGCUGAGGAGCGAAAGCGUGGGGAGCGAACAGGCUUAGAUACCCUGGUAGUCCACGCUGUAAACGGUGGGUACUAGGUGUGGGGUCCAUUCCACGGGUUCCGUGCCGUAGCUAACGCUUUAAGUACCCCGCCUGGGGAGUACGGCCGCAAGGCUAAAACUCAAAGGAAUUGACGGGGCCCCGCACAAGCGGCGGAGCAUGCGGAUUAAUUCGAUGCAACGCGUAGAACCUUACCUGGGUUUGACAUGGAUCGGGAGCGCUCAGAGAUGGGUGUGCCUCUUUUGGGGUCGGUUCACAGGUGGUGCAUGCCUGUCGUCAGCUCGUGUCGUGAGAUGUUGGGUUAAGUCCCGCAACGAGCGCAACCCUUGUUCACUGUUGCCAGCACGUUAUGGUGGGGACUCAGUGGAGACCGCCGGGGUCAACUCGGAGGAAGGUGGGGAUGACGUCAAGUCAUCAUGCCCCUUAUGUCCAGGGCUUCACGCAUGCUACAAUGGCUGGUACAGAGAGUGGCGAGCCUGUGAGGGUGAGCGAAUCUCGGAAAGCCGGUCUCAGUUCGGAUUGGGGUCUGCAACUCGACCUCAUGAAGUCGGAGUCGCUAGUAAUCGCAGAUCAGCAACGCUGCGGUGAAAACGUUCCCGGGGCU